CCUACGGGAGGCAGCAGUGAGGAAUAUUGGUCAAUGGGCGGGAGCCUGAACCAGCCAAGCCGCGUGCGGGAAGAAGGUACAGCGUAUCGUAAACCUCUUUUGUCAGGGAACAAAGGCGGGGACUAGUCCCCUGAUGAGGGUACCUGAAGAAAAAGCAUCGGCUAACUCCGUGCCAGCAGCCGCGGUAAUACGGAGGAUGCGAGCGUUAUCCGGAUUUAUUGGGUUUAAAGGGUGCGCAGGCGGCCUGUUAAGUCAGCGGUAAAAGCCCGGGGGUCAACCCCGGCGAGCCGUUGAAACUGGUGGGCUGGAGUUGGAGAGAGGUACGCGGAAUGCGCGGUGUAGCGGUGAAAUGCUUAGAUAUCGCGCAGAACCCCGAUUGCGAAGGCAGCGUACCGGCGCCACACUGACGCUGAGGCACGAAAGCGCGGGUAUCGAACAGGAUUAGAUACCCCAGUAGUC
Molecule: ribosomal RNA, 459 nt
Filed under: uncultured bacterium
Lineage: Bacteria
Description: partial 16S ribosomal RNA
Rfam family: Bacterial small subunit ribosomal RNA
Source: RNAcentral